Molecule: long non-coding RNA, 638 nt
Filed under: Homo sapiens (human)
Lineage: Eukaryota; Metazoa; Chordata; Mammalia; Primates; Hominidae
Description: HSALNT0354320
Source: RNAcentral
GGGAGACGAGGCAGGACCAGCUUUAAAAGAAGGCUGUAAGCUCAGACAACAAGUAGCAAAAGAAACACUGACCACUCACAGGCUGGGGAUUCAGAACCUGCGGAUGUGGAGGGCCAGAGGGCUGAAUUUGCAAGUUGGGCAAUGGGGAAAGCCUUCACAAAGGAGAAAGCCUUUGGGCUGGAAUUGGAGGAGUAGGAGUCAAUAGAGAGAGAAGAGAGUAAAGGGCAAGGCCAUCAUUCCAGGUUUAGGGAGCAAGUACAAAGACACAGAGAAAUGAAAAGGCUUGGCCUGUUUGGAGAAUGUCAAGCUGUCUGGGGUUGAGAGAAAGACAUUCUAACAAGGCUUCCAUUAAAGAGGCUAGAUUUGCUGCUUGGACAUUUUCUAGCUCUUCUGAGACAACUUUUUGUUGAGUUAAGCGAAAAUGAAUGAAAAUCAGAUGGACCAUAUUUCUCUUGAAUGCACACGGGCUUAAAAACGAAGGGGAAAAAGAACUUGACAGAAUGUGUCUUGGCUUUUGCCAAACCCAAAGUAUUUGAAAAAUCACACAGUACACAUCUCGAACCCAAAAACAUGCCUGGAUUCUACCACCCCUAACUGCAGCUGCAGCCAUUUAAUAAAAUGAAUUGUGUACAAGAAAA